Molecule: long non-coding RNA, 323 nt
Filed under: Erythranthe guttata (spotted monkey flower)
Lineage: Eukaryota; Viridiplantae; Streptophyta; Magnoliopsida; Lamiales; Phrymaceae
Description: long non-coding RNA (EGUT_LNC001306)
Source: RNAcentral
AUUCUUCAUUUUUCGCCGGAGCAAAUUCACAACUCAUUUUUUCAUCUUUUCUUUCACUGCAAAUCACAGGCUAACGCAUAUAAGGUCAGAUCACGACAGGUAAUCGUUGUUAUUUGUUCAUGUAAAUAAAGCAGUCUAAGUAUGUAUUUGUUAACAUGCCUGUCAACUGUUCGAUCAAAGUCCUCACUGAAAUUUUAACACUGAUGCAACCCAAAAUUUAUCCCUUUGGAUGGAAAUGGUGAUAGUUAGUGCAAAAUUCUUGUUUGGAUUUGUUCUUGAAAUUAUAUUGCAUAGGGAUUUUUAUGCUUUUGUUUGUGUUAUGG